CAUUUUACUAAAAGAACGACCCCUAUUUUCUUAGAAAAACGAUUCCUAUUUUCCUAAAAGAACGACCCCUAUUCUCCAACCCACAGCCCCCAUUUUCCUAAGAGAACGACCCCCUACACACACACACCAACCACGUUCCUCCCUUUCCCAACCUAGCUAACGAAACUAAUCCAUUUUUUUUUUUUUUUGUAAUAAACCUCCCCAGGUCUGACCAGAUACCCAGGCGCGUGUGUCUGCAGGAAACUGACGAUGCUCCACUGCCCUGGCAUCGGCAUCUUGGAACUUCCACAAGAUAUCGACCCAACUAUCACCGCCCUCCUCCUUCAGAACAACUCGAUCAGCCUCCGACGGAACGGCUUCAAGCGCUACCCGCGCCUCACCCUCCUCCACCUGGAAAGCAACAACCUGACCCAGCUGCCAGACGGCGCGUUCCUCGGCCUCAACCACCUGCGCCGCCUGU
Penaeus monodon (black tiger shrimp) is the source of this 460-nucleotide long non-coding RNA. RefSeq lists it as uncharacterized. The record is from RefSeq and is a predicted model, not a curated record. The transcript has 3 exons. Lineage: Eukaryota; Metazoa; Arthropoda; Malacostraca; Decapoda; Penaeidae.